This 379-nucleotide ribosomal RNA is filed under the name uncultured bacterium. RNAcentral describes it as "bacterial SSU rRNA". It matches the Rfam family "Bacterial small subunit ribosomal RNA", at positions 521 to 898 of the family's 1533-position model. The record is from RNAcentral.
UAAUACGUAGGUGGCAAGCGUUGUCCGGAUUUAUUGGGCGUAAAGCGCGCGCAGGCGGUCCUUUAAGUCUGAUGUGAAAUCUUGCGGCUCAACCGCAAGCGGUCAUUGGAAACUGGGGGACUUGAGUGCAGAAGAGGAGAGCGGAAUUCCACGUGUAGCGGUGAAAUGCGUAGAGAUGUGGAGGAACACCAGUGGCGAAGGCGGCUUUCUGGUCUGUAACUGACGCUGAGGCGCGAAAGCGUGGGGAGCAAACAGGAUUAGAUACCCUGGUAGUCCACGCCGUAAACGAUGAGUGCUAAGUGUUGGAGGGUUUCCGCCCUUCAGUGCUGCAGCUAACGCAUUAAGCACUCCGCCUGGGGAGUACGGUCGCAAGACUGAA